This 57-nucleotide transfer RNA is filed under the name Loxodonta africana (African savanna elephant). It matches the Rfam family "tRNA", at positions 8 to 63 of the family's 71-position model. Rfam says of the family: Transfer RNA (tRNA) molecules are approximately 80 nucleotides in length. Lineage: Eukaryota; Metazoa; Chordata; Mammalia; Proboscidea; Elephantidae. The record is from Rfam by way of RNAcentral.
UGGCACAGUGGUAAAGCAUUUGGCUGCUAACCAAAAGGUCGGCAGUUCGAAUCCACC